Long non-coding RNA from Tachysurus fulvidraco (yellow catfish), 1990 nucleotides. RefSeq lists it as uncharacterized. Lineage: Eukaryota; Metazoa; Chordata; Actinopteri; Siluriformes; Bagridae. The transcript has 3 exons. The record is from RefSeq and is a predicted model, not a curated record.
AAUAAUGUCUCAAGCAAACAACCACCUUUAGAACUAUCCAGACUAUGAGGCAAGCUUUAACUAAGCUACCUGUUUUGGUUCCUUAUACCAUGCUAAUGUUUGGUGGAAGUGUAACUGCACAAGAAAUACUUUUAUACAGGUUGAAUUUUCUAUGUUGGCAGACAGCCUUAUCCAGUGCGACAUACAAAAGUGAAGUGAAAGUGCAUAAAAACAGCAGAAUCCUUCUGAUGUUGCACAAAAGAAACCGACAUGAACAUGUCACAUUAGCAUCCUGCAAGGAAAAGGACAGUUGAUUGUCCAUGGUUACACAAGGUUGCAAGCAGUGGCCGAAGACGGAUCAGAGAGCUGUGCAGGGACAUCGCUAGAUCCUGGCCUGGGGAUGAAUCACUUAGGAUGACCAGCAGUUCAGUUUCAGUGAGAUUGAGUUUUCAUCUGAUGAGCCAUCAGCCACUAGACAUGCAGAGACCCAAGCAGAAGCUGGGUUUCUAUCCACAGUUUUACAGAUAGCAUCAACCACAAAUUCAGCUGGAUGUGAUAGAGCCAUACAAAGUCCCAAUCUCAGUGAAAAUCUCAGAGCUCCAUCCGCUGACUGCACCAAAAGCCAGGGAGCUGGAGAGUCGAGUGGUCAGAGCCUCAGUCUGCUGCUCAAAGCACGACAGAUGCGUCUCCCUCAGGAACAUCGCAGCCACACUAACAAACAUCACAGAAAAUUGUGAACAAAUUGCAGAUGCACAUUCUGAUCUAUAUCAAGCACUUGGAAACAGAGUCUUCCUCUAACCUCAGGUUAAAUGCGUCUAGACGGGAAAUUUCCGCAGGAGUGAAGCCACAAAGUAGAUUGCCAAGAGAAACCAACUCGACCACUCCGAGGUCUUCAGGCUUCUCUUUGCGGUGGCGCAGGAAUCCCUGUAGAGCCGCUCUCAUCUGUAAAAAAUAUGAAGUGGUAAAUUAAAUGGGAAGCUUGUAAAAUGUGUAUGGGGUGUAUGGUGUCCUGCAAUGGACUGGUCUUCCAUUCAGUGUGUAUUAAUGCCUCAGACACUAUAGACUCUGGAUUCACAGUUACCCAGACCAUUAUACGGGACUCACUGAAGAUUGAUAUUGUAUACAAUAAAUAUGAAACCUGCUCAUAUUUCAAAACCACAGAGUUUAUCCAGUAUAACAUUGCUGCUGAAUUCUUUACUAGCUUUGACAUUUUAAAACAAACAACAGAGAAUAGAUCGUUUAAAAUUGGACAAAAUGUAUGUGUAUGUUAUCAUCCCAUGAUGAAACCUAAUCAUCAUCCAUAUACACAUGUUCACAUUAAGUACUAUUUCAAUGUUGAGAUUACUUUUUAAUUUAAAGACAAGCAUUGCAGGUAAAUACAGGUUUAUAUAUGUUUGCAGACAUACUGUAUAUGUCUAAAAGUAGGUGGCUACCUAGCCAUCACAUCACACAGUUUUAUAGAAUGCCUUUGUAUGCUGUAGCAUUAAGAUUUUUCUUUAGUGGAACUAAGGAGCCCAGACUUGUUCCAGCAUGGCAAUGCCCUUGUGCACAAAUAAAAGUCCAAAAAGACAUGGUAUGCCAACAUUACAGUGAAAGAAUUUGAGUAGCCUGCACAGAUCCCUGCACUUAACCCCACUGAACACCGUUGGAACCCAGAACUCUUCAUUCAGCAACAGUGCUUUGACCUGAUUACUGGUUUCGAGGCUAAAUGAGAACAAAUCCCCACAACCACACUUCAAAAUCUAUUAUGCCCAGCGUUGCUCAGCAUCCAGAGCACCAUCCUGACCCAGGAAUUCAACACACUCCUUCAGUUCUCUUCUCUUCAUUCUAUUGAGCUGAUACCAGCGCCAAGCUGAGGGAAAAGUACCUUUGAUAUCCACGCACGUCGGGAUUGGCUCUGACAAAGGUUAAUGCACUUGCACAUUAGAUCAUAUCAAUUAGAUUUGAUUCAUUAUUUUUAUCUUGUGAUAGAUGCAGUAUAUUAAAGUAGUAAACAUGCCUCACCUCUUCU